Long non-coding RNA from Helianthus annuus (common sunflower), 302 nucleotides. RefSeq lists it as uncharacterized. Lineage: Eukaryota; Viridiplantae; Streptophyta; Magnoliopsida; Asterales; Asteraceae. The record is from RefSeq and is a predicted model, not a curated record. The transcript is spliced from 3 exons.
UCGAUCUAGAACAUAGGAGGGCGACCAACUCACCUUCCAAAACCUAGUUUCACAAAAUUGCUCAAAUUGAGGGCUCUAGUCUGUUCCAAAUCGAUUUCUAAGCGCAAAUUCGUGAUCAUCUCAUUGAAGGGAUCAUAAGGCAAGGAGUCCGGAUCGUCAAGUGGACAAGCCGGAGGGGAUACGCGCUUGAAAGGGGCUCUAAAGGUAAUGCUCGUUCGUUUCGGAUGCCAAUCAAGCAAGGAAAUCAAGAACCGAACACAAGUUUUGAAGCUUCCGCACUAAUCUAAUUAUGUUUAAACAAU